This 318-nucleotide ribosomal RNA is filed under the name uncultured eukaryote. RNAcentral's name for it is "partial 18S ribosomal RNA". It matches the Rfam family "Eukaryotic small subunit ribosomal RNA", at positions 1470 to 1796 of the family's 1831-position model. The record is from RNAcentral.
CCCUUAGAUGUCCUGGGCCGCACGCGUGCUACACUGACGCAUACAGCGAGUACUUUCUGGGUCCGAAAGGUCUCCCAGUAAUCAGCAAUAUGCGUCGUGAUGGGGAUAGUACUUUGGAAUUCUUGUACUUGAACGAGGAAUGCCUAGUAAGCGCAAGUCAUUAGCUUGCACUGAUUAAGUCCCUGCCCUUUGUACACACCGCCCGUCGCUCCUACCGAUUUCGAGUGAUCCGGUGAACCUUUUGGACGGCGUGGGUCUUCUGGUCCGCGCCGAAAAUCAAGUAAACCACAUCACUUAGAGGAAGGAGAAGUCGUAACA